CCUACGGGAGGCAGCAGUGAGGAAUAUUGGUCAAUGGGCGCGAGUCUGAACCAGCCAAGUCGCGUGAGGGAUGACGGCCCUAUGGAUUGUAAACUUCUUUUAUACGGGAAUAAACUGUGUCACGUGUCCUUUUUUGCAUGUACCUUAUGAAUAAGGAUCGGCUAAUUCCGUGCCAGCAGCCGCGGUAAUACGGAGGAUCCGAGCGUUAUCCGGAUUUAUUGGGUUUAAAGGGUGCGUAGGCGGCCUUUUAAGUCAGCGGUGAAAGGCUGUGGCUCAACCGUAGCAUUGCCGUUGAUACUGGGGGGCUUGAGUGUGUUGGAGGCAGGCGGAAUGCGUGGUGUAGCGGUGAAAUGCUUAGAUAUCACGCAGAACCCCGAUUGCGAAGGCAGCCUGCCAAGCCAUGACUGACGCUGAUGCACGAAGGCGUGGGGAUCGAACAGGAUUAGAUACCCCAGUAGUC
Molecule: ribosomal RNA, 460 nt
Filed under: uncultured bacterium
Lineage: Bacteria
Description: partial 16S ribosomal RNA
Rfam family: Bacterial small subunit ribosomal RNA
Source: RNAcentral